RNAcentral lists this ribosomal RNA (468 nucleotides) under uncultured bacterium. Its description in RNAcentral is "partial 16S ribosomal RNA". It matches the Rfam family "Bacterial small subunit ribosomal RNA", at positions 28 to 507 of the family's 1533-position model. The record is from RNAcentral.
GACGAACGCUGGCGGCGUGCUUAACACAUGCAAGUCGAACGGAAAGGCCCUGCUUUUGUGGGGUGCUCGAGUGGCGAACGGGUGAGUAACACGUGAGUAACCUGCCCUUGACUUUGGGAUAACUUCAGGAAACGGGGGCUAAUACCGGAUAGGAGCUCCUGCUGCAUGGAGGGGGGUGGAAAGUUUCGGCGGUUGGGGAUGGACUCGCGGCUGAUCAGCUUGUUGGUGGGGUAGUGGCUUACCAAGGCUUUGACGGGUAGCCGGCCUGAGAGGGUGACCGGCCACAUUGGGACUGAGAUACGGCCCAGACUCCUACGGGAGGCAGCAGUGGGGAAUAUUGCACAAUGGGCGGACGCCUGAUGCAGCAACGCCGCGUGCGGGAUGACGGCCUUCGGGUUGUAAACCGCUUUCGCCUGUGACGAAGCGUGAGUGACGGUAAUGGGUAAAGAAGCACCGGCUAACUACGUG